CCUACGGGAGGCAGCAGUGAGGAAUAUUGGUCAAUGGGCGUAAGCCUGAACCAGCCAAGUCGCGUGAAGGAAGACGGCCCUAUGGGUUGUAAACUUCUUUUAUCCGGGAAUAACGCCACCUACGUGUAGGCCUUUGCAUGUACCCUAUGAAUAAGGACCGGCUAAUUCCGUGCCAGCAGCCGCGGUAAUACGGAAGGUUCGGGCGUUAUCCGGAUUUAUUGGGUUUAAAGGGUGCGUAGGUCGCAUUUCCAGCGUGCCGGUAAAUUUGCGGGCUCAACCCGGGCCUUGCCGUGGAAACUGGCGUGCUUGAGUCGGCGGAAAGCAGGCGGAAUGCGUGGUGUAGCGGUGAAAUGCUUAGAUAUGACGCAGAACCCCGAUUGCGAAGGCAGCUUACUGCAGCGUAACUGACGCUGAUGCACGAAAGCGCGGGUAUCGAACAGGAUUAGAUACCCGAGUAGUC
RNAcentral lists this ribosomal RNA (460 nucleotides) under uncultured bacterium. RNAcentral's name for it is "partial 16S ribosomal RNA". It matches the Rfam family "Bacterial small subunit ribosomal RNA", at positions 338 to 795 of the family's 1533-position model. The record is from RNAcentral.